RNAcentral lists this ribosomal RNA (460 nucleotides) under Micromonospora sp. RNAcentral describes it as "bacterial SSU rRNA". It matches the Rfam family "Bacterial small subunit ribosomal RNA", at positions 105 to 580 of the family's 1533-position model. The record is from RNAcentral. Lineage: Bacteria; Bacillati; Actinomycetota; Actinomycetes; Micromonosporales; Micromonosporaceae.
GGUGAGUAACACGUGAGCAACCUGCCCUAGGCUUUGGGAUAACCCUCGGAAACGGGGGCUAAUACCGAAUAUGACCUCGCAUCGCAUGGUGUGUGGUGGAAAGUUUUUCGGCCUGGGAUGGGCUCGCGGCCUAUCAGCUUGUUGGUGGGGUGAUGGCCUACCAAGGCGACGACGGGUAGCCGGCCUGAGAGGGCGACCGGCCACACUGGGACUGAGACACGGCCCAGACUCCUACGGGAGGCAGCAGUGGGGAAUAUUGCACAAUGGGCGGAAGCCUGAUGCAGCGACGCCGCGUGAGGGAUGACGGCCUUCGGGUUGUAAACCUCUUUCAGCAGGGACGAAGCGUAAGUGACGGUACCUGCAGAAGAAGCGCCGGCCAACUACGUGCCAGCAGCCGCGGUAAGACGUAGGGCGCGAGCGUUGUCCGGAUUUAUUGGGCGUAAAGAGCUCGUAGGCGGCU